GCUGUUGGUGGAUGAGUGGCGAACGGGUGAGUAACACGUGAGUAACCUGCCCCUGAUUUCGGGAUAAGCCUGGGAAACUGGGUCUAAUACCGGAUACGACCUCCUGACGCAUGUUGGGUGGUGGAAAGUUUUUCGAUCGGGGAUGGGCUCGCGGCCUAUCAGCUUGUUGGUGGGGUAAUGGCCUACCAAGGCGACGACGGGUAGCCGGCCUGAGAGGGCGACCGGCCACACUGGGACUGAGACACGGCCCAGACUCCUACGGGAGGCAGCAGUGGGGAAUAUUGCACAAUGGGGGAAACCCUGAUGCAGCGACGCAGCGUGCGGGAUGACGGCCUUCGGGUUGUAAACCGCUUUCAGCAGGGAAGAAGCGAAAGUGACGGUACCUGCAGAAGAAGUACCGGCUAACUACGUGCCAGCAGCCGCGGUAAUACGUAGGGUACGAGCGUUGUCCGGAAUUAUUGGGCGUAAAGAGCUCGUAGGUGGUUGGUCACGUCUGCUGUGGAAACGCAACGCUUAACGUUGCGCGUGCAGUGGGUACGGGCUGACUAGAGUGCAGUAGGGGAGUCUGGAAUUCCUGGUGUAGCGGUGAAAUGCGCAGAUAUCAGGAGGAACACCGGUGG
This 620-nucleotide ribosomal RNA is filed under the name Brevibacterium epidermidis. RNAcentral describes it as "bacterial SSU rRNA". It matches the Rfam family "Bacterial small subunit ribosomal RNA", at positions 79 to 715 of the family's 1533-position model. Lineage: Bacteria; Bacillati; Actinomycetota; Actinomycetes; Micrococcales; Brevibacteriaceae. The record is from RNAcentral.